Molecule: long non-coding RNA, 2000 nt
Organism: Bos taurus (domestic cattle)
Lineage: Eukaryota; Metazoa; Chordata; Mammalia; Artiodactyla; Bovidae
Source: Ensembl
GGGUUGAGAAGUUUCCCUGGAGAAGGAAAGGGCAACCCACUCUAGUAUUCUUGCCUGGGAAAUCCCAUGGAAAGAGGAGCCUGGUGGGCUACCUAUGAAGCAAAUAGGUAGAUAUUGUUCCCACUUUACAGAGAAGGAAAACUGAGGGCUGGAGAGAUUAGUAGCUCAUAAAAGGUAGUUGAGGAAGGAGCACAGGUCUAUAAGCCUUGAAUCUUUCAACUAUAUCAAGAUGCCUUCCUCCAGGGACAUAAAAGCACCCCAGCUUACCACUGGUAGCUUUUACCCGGACUUACUCACCCUAAAGCCUUGAACUCCUGCACCCUCACACUGGCUCACAGAGACUCCUGAAUCCACACUUGUGGGCAUCUAUUUCUCCAGGCAGAUUUCUUUACCACUGAGCCACCUGGGAAUCCAUAGGAAGAGAUAGUAAGGCCCUAAAGCAGUGGUUCUCAUCCUUUGUCGCAAAACGAAAUCAGCUGGAGAGCUUUAAUGAUCUCCACGGCCAGGCUGCUUCCUAGGCCAGUUAAAUCAGGAGCGCAGGAAGUGGAACCCAGCCAGUGGGAGUUGUCAAUGUUCUCCUGCUGAUUCCUCCUUGCAGCCAAGGUGAAGAACUGUUGCCCUAGAGUGGUGGUUCUCAGUGUGUGCAUGUCCAACAGCAUCAGCAUCACCUGGAAAUGUGUAAGGAAAUGCACAUCCUCCAGCCUCACCCUAGACCUGCUGAGUCAGAACUCUGGGGAAUCAUGUUUUCAGCUCUGCAUCUGGUUCUGCUGAACACUGAAGUUUGAGAGCCACUGUCCUCGAGGAAGGAAGCCACGAGACAGCAGGAACCUGGGUCCCAAGCUGCUGUAUCAGGAAUAUCCAUGUUGGAGCAUGAGUGAGAAAUAAACUUUUAUUUUGUUAAGCCACUGGUCCGGUAGGUCAAUGUUUGCAGAGCUUAAAAGACAACAGGGAAGAGCUGAAGGUGGGACUAAGCAGUGGUGUGUGAGAGCUGGCUCCUAUCAGCUCACUUCAUUGAUCCAUUUUUGGAAAUUUUUCAAGCCAGGCGACUUCACAUCAGUAGCUUGACACUGGAGGAGACUAGAAUAUUUACACCUUGGAAAAUGUCAAAUGCUGCAAACCAUGGCCUGUUUUCCCAGAGAGCCAGCUGUUAAACACUAACCAGCACAUUGUUAGGACCAGGUACCAGGGUAAGACAGCAGCAUGGUGCACCCUUCCUGAGCAGUAAUGAAGCAUCAAAAGAAACGCCACCAAUGUGUGAGGCUCCCUAGACCCAGCCAGCCCUCAGACUUCUCUGGACAAACUCUGUCUUGGCCAAGUCCUUGUAUUUAGAGCUUCUGGAGGCUUGAGAGAUAGGGGGCUGUAGGAAGCAGAGGGGAUGAAUGGUCAAAACCUUCUUACAGAUUGAGUGAUUGAUAGAUUCAGAGCAGAGUUUCCCGACCUUGGCACUGUUGACAUUUGAGGUCAGCACAUUCUUGUUUGGGGGGCUAUCCUGUGCACUGUAGCUUCUUUGGCAAUAUCCCUGGCCUCUGCCCACUAGAUGCCAUUAGUCAGGUACUGCCAAGUGUCUCCUGGAGGGCAAAGCCACCCCUAGUUCAGAAGCACUGAUUAAGAACUACCUAGAAGAGAAGAGACCUAGAAGGGAAGAGACAUGCCAAGGAGUGCUGUGCUCAGCAUACCAUCUCAGCCCCAGAGCAAUUUUGAGAAGAUGCUGUUGGAGUCAGUUGCAAUCACAUGCUGGCCUCCUGCCACUGUCCUCAACAAGCUCUCUCCCUUGGUUUCCCAUCUCCUUGAUCAGGCCCUUUCUUUCUCAAUGAUACCUGUACUCCUGGAGUCUUACUACCACCUUUAGCUCUCCGUUUAGGAGUGUCUCUGCAGGUUCCAUCCCUUGGUUGGGAAGAUGCCCUGGAGACGGAAAUGGCAACCCACUCCAGUAUUCUUGCCUGGGAAAUCACAUGGAUAGAAGAGCCUGGCAGGUUAUAGUCCAUGGGAUCGAGCAAGAC